This 460-nucleotide ribosomal RNA is filed under the name uncultured bacterium. RNAcentral's name for it is "partial 16S ribosomal RNA". It matches the Rfam family "Bacterial small subunit ribosomal RNA", at positions 338 to 795 of the family's 1533-position model. The record is from RNAcentral.
CCUACGGGAGGCUGCAGUGAGGAAUAUUGGUCAAUGGACGAGAGUCUGAACCAGCCAAGUAGCGUGAAGGAUGACUGCCCUAUGGGUUGUAAACUUCUUUUAUAUGGGAAUAAAAUGUUCCACGUGUGGGAUUUUGUAUGUACUAUAUGAAUAAGGAUCGGCUAACUCCGUGCCAGCAGCCGCGGUAAUACGGAGGAUCCGAGCGUUAUCCGGAUUUUUUGGGUUUAAAGGGAGCGUAGGUGGAUUGUUAAGUCAGUUGUGAAAGUUUGCGGCUCAACCGUAAAAUUGCAGUUGAAACUGGGAGUCUAGAGUACAGUAGAGGUGGGCGGAAUUCGUGGUGUAGCGGUGAAAUGCUUAGAUAUCACGAAGAACUCCGAUUGCGAAGGCAGCUCACUGGACUGCAACUGACACUGAGGCUCGAAAGUGUGGGUAUCAAACAGGAUUAGAUACCCCUGUAGUC